This 384-nucleotide ribosomal RNA is filed under the name uncultured bacterium. RNAcentral describes it as "bacterial SSU rRNA". It matches the Rfam family "Bacterial small subunit ribosomal RNA", at positions 28 to 417 of the family's 1533-position model. The record is from RNAcentral.
GACGAACGCUGGCGGCGUGCUUAACACAUGCAAGUCGAGCGGUAAGGCCCUUCGGGGUACACGAGCGGCGAACGGGUGAGUAACACGUGGGUGACCUGCCUCUAGCUCUGGGAUAAGCCUGGGAAACUGGGUCUAAUACCGGAUAUGACUCCACGGCGCAUGUUGUGGGGUGGAAAGCCUUGUGUGGCUAGAGAUGGGCCCGCGGCCUAUCAGCUUGUUGGUGGGGUGAUGGCCACCAAGGCGACGACGGUAGCCGGCCUGAGAGGGCGACCGGCCACACUGGGACUGAGACACGGCCCAGACUCCUACGGGAGGCAGCAGUGGGGAAUCUUGCGCAAUGGGCGAAAGCCUGACGCAGCGACGCCGCGUGAGGGAUGACGGCCU